CCACGAACGAAAAGUAACGCCCACAUUCAUUACCAGCGGUCGUCUUUCUUCCUGGAACUUCCACUUUCGUAACGCUUCCACGACAAAGAGGCAGCACCUUACGUGAGCCCAGCUUCGCCACUAUCAUUAGAGGAAAGUGACGACCGGUGACGGCGCUUCUGCUGCGAUGUGACGUCUCGAAAACCUACGCAUCGUGGGUUACCUCGCGUUGUCGCUUGCAUGUCAUUACAGUCCAGUGUAUAUAUACAGCCAGCUCCAUUUGCAACGUACAAAACAGCUCUUUGGCUCGUUGCACAGUGAAGCUUUACUCUUCAGGGCAGAAGCAGACGGAUAAUCAUGAAGGCUGUGCUGUGUUUGCUGGUCAUUUGCCUCAUACUGGCCACUGCUGUAGCAAUUAAGGGCUUCGGCCACAAAGGCGGCUUUGGCGGCGGACAUGGCCACGGAGGAGGAUACGGACACGGAGGAGGAUUUGGCCAUGGAGGUGGUUUCGGCGGUCAUGGUGGCAAGUUUGGCAAGUUCCACGGAUAGUCACCAACAGCUCAUCAUGCACUCGACACAAUUUCUUCAAACGUGCGGCGACCAGAGCGCCCGAACAGCCGGCAAACGAAGAAGAGUACAAAACGCGCAAUAUAUUUCGGAAUAAAAUUUCCUUGCCUUU
This 658-nucleotide long non-coding RNA is filed under the name Dermacentor andersoni. RNAcentral's name for it is "uncharacterized LOC126530775". Lineage: Eukaryota; Metazoa; Arthropoda; Arachnida; Ixodida; Ixodidae. The record is from RNAcentral.